GAAGAGAUAAGCUAAAGUUAAGCUAAUAGGUUCAUACCCUAUGUAUGGAGACUACUC
RNAcentral lists this transfer RNA (57 nucleotides) under Afronurus yixingensis. Its description in RNAcentral is "tRNA-Met". Lineage: Eukaryota; Metazoa; Arthropoda; Insecta; Ephemeroptera; Heptageniidae. The record is from RNAcentral.